This 253-nucleotide ribosomal RNA is filed under the name uncultured bacterium. RNAcentral's name for it is "partial 16S ribosomal RNA". It matches the Rfam family "Bacterial small subunit ribosomal RNA", at positions 524 to 776 of the family's 1533-position model. The record is from RNAcentral.
UACGUAGGGUGCGAGCGUUAAUCGGAAUUACUGGGCGUAAAGCGUGCGCAGGCGGCUUCGCAAGUCAGACGUGAAAUCCCCGGGCUUAACCUGGGAAUAGCGUUUGAAACUACGGAGCUGGAGUGUGGCAGAGGGAGGUAGAAUUCCACGUGUAGCGGUGAAAUGCGUAGAUAUGUGGAGGAAUACCGAUGGCGAAGGCAGCCUCCUGGGCCAACACUGACGCUCAUGCACGAAAGCGUGGGGAGCAAACAGG